CAGCAGCCGCGGUAAUACGUAGGGGGCAAGCGUUAUCCGGAUUUAUUGGGCGUAAAGAGCGCGUAGGCGGUCUGUUAAGCGAGAUGUGAAAACCGGGGGCUCAACCCGCGGCCUGCAUCUCGAACUGGCAGACUUGAGUCUGGUAGAGGAAAGUGGAAUUCCUGGUGUAGCGGUGAAAUGCGCAGAUAUCAGGAGGAACACCAGUGGCGAAGGCGGCUUUCUGGGCCACGACUGACGCUGAGGCGCGAAAGCUAGGGGAGCGAACAGGAUUAGAUACCCUGGUAGUCCUAGCCGUAAACGAUGGGCACUAGGUGUGGGGGUCAUCGACUCCCUCCGUGCCGAAGCUAACGCAUUAAGUGCCCCGCCUGGGGAGUACGGCCGCAAGGCUAAAACUCAAAGGAAUUGACGGGGGCCCGCACAAGCAGCGGAGCAUGUGGCUUAAUUCGACGCAACGCGAAGAACCUUACCAGGGCUUGACAUGCAGGGAAAAACGGCGGAAACGUCGUGUCCGUAAGGGCCCUGCACAGGAGGUGCAUGGCC
Molecule: ribosomal RNA, 540 nt
Filed under: uncultured archaeon
Lineage: Archaea
Description: bacterial SSU rRNA
Rfam family: Bacterial small subunit ribosomal RNA
Source: RNAcentral